UUGUCUCCAUAUGCAGUCAACAAACCAGCUUUUGUUGACCUCUGAAGCAGCGCCCAUCUCCACUACCUCCUGUCGCCAGCAGCAGGGCCCCCGAAGCCAGUGAACUCGCCAGCAGACGCCACGCAACCCCCUUGCUUCUCUCGGCCAGCACAUCUCUCACGUCUGCUCAGUCUUCAGCCGCGCGGACUCCUUCAGCUUGCCCAUCUCCACGAAUCAGGACGCCGAAGCUGCUUCUUCUGCCUGUUCGUUGGCCCAGCGAAGCCCACGGAGUCUUGAUUUGAAGCCACGUGC
Molecule: long non-coding RNA, 291 nt
Filed under: Eucalyptus grandis
Lineage: Eukaryota; Viridiplantae; Streptophyta; Magnoliopsida; Myrtales; Myrtaceae
Description: long non-coding RNA (EGRA_LNC002391)
Source: RNAcentral